AAACGACGAGGUAUCCCUUCAACCCUCAACUCCCUCCUCAAACCUUCAACUCUGAAAAAUUAAUAAACCCAAAUUAUAUCAACCAAUUUCAUCAAUCAAUUAUGAGAUUUCAAAUCUCAAAUUAUGAGUUUAUUUUUAAAAAAAAAAAAUCAAUCGAACCACGCUUCUGUGUCAUUCAUCGUUGCUCUCAAAAUUACAGUUUCUUUCUCAUUUCCCUUCUCCAAAAAAAUCAUUUUCCAAUUUCUUUGUUUUUCCUUUCCUACUCCCUUCGCCAAUUCAAUCCCUAUUCAUUUCUCUACCCCCGUCUUCCUCCAGUUCUGAAUUUUCAAGUUUAAAUUGCAAAGCAGGCGAGACUAAUUAUCAGUAAUUUCGCAAAGCAUAUGAAUUCUGAAUUUCCGAACAGGUUGGUUCAAAUGAAGAGAAGUAUGUCUGUAGUUUAUCAUACAGGUAUUCUUAUAGAGAUAAAAGUGUUAUGAUAUGUUCUUAAUGUGUUGAAAGAGGGUAUGAAGAGGCAAACUAUUUCCAAAACUUGGUGCUCACUAAUCACUAUGGUGGUUCUCUGAUAGUUGUAUAAUAAUUCCAGCUGGUAAGAUGUCAUGGCUUGGGUUACAGAUGCGGGUGCAGUGGUGGUGCCAUGGUGUGACAAUCGCCGACAACGAGAGAGUGGAACGCGACAGAAUUCCUAGCAGCAAUUGCAAGUAUGAUUUUCUAAUUAAUUAAUCUCAUUCAUGAAAAGGGAGAAGCGAUUGGUGAAAUUAGAUCCAUGUGAUGAGCAGAGCUAUGCUAGCAAAAUUUACUUGGCCAUGUGUAAAGGUUCAAAAUCAUGGUAACUUUGUCGUAGGAAACACAAAGAAUGUCUCAGCAGACAACAAGACCCCUAAGUUUCAUUUGGAUCAAGAGGCAAACACGGCUUCCCUCCAAUUCAGUUUGAUGGUGGAUAAUGAUGCCAAUAUUGAAAAAGCUCUUUAUCCUGGUAAAAGGAAGAAGACAAUUCCUGAUUUACUUUAUUGGCAGUGAAAUUCAAUUAAAGAGCAGUUGAUUAAUUUUGAAAACGUGACUUCUAAAGGAGAAAGGGAGAAAGCAGAGAUCCCAAAAUUUGAUGAAAAAUGUUUCUUCUUUUUGUCCCUAUGCCCCCAAUGAUUAUAUAUGUAGUGGUUAACUUAUGUAUGUAUGAGUUGGACUCAUGAACGCAAACAUAAAUCAAACGUAACUCAUGCAUAUUUUUAUUUUAGUAUGGUCCUUAAUUGCUAUUUUUGUUGUCACUUGAAGCUUCUGUGCUCUUUUUUAAGUGUCCUGACACGAGAGCAGUAAGACUUUUUGGCAGUGCAGUGCUACAUUUUGUGUGGUUAAUUAGUUCUUUAAGUUGAGGCAAUACUGUUUGUUAAACUAAUUCCAUUUCCAUAUAUUUCCAGCACAAUCAGUCUCAUGGAUUUUGUGAUUUAGAAUGACACAUCUCCUUCUCAGGGAGCUCUUUAUCCUGGUACUGGCUUUUGUAGUGAAUUGUCCUCAUCUCAAUGGUCAGAUUGGUUUAUGACUGUCCACUAACGAGACAUGCAUCUUCAUAAUCGAGUUUGUAGUGUUUAAUUGACUUUAAUUGAGAGCAAUAUGUAGGACUGCUUAUUCAUAAUCUGGAAGCAAAAGGGACACAAGUGGAGUCUUUUCCUACAAUUCUUGCUCCAACUUUAAGGUAGUGGCUUCUGAGAUGCCAAAAUUGCUAGAUGUGGAAGAUCGAGGAUAUUUCAUACGUUAAAUAGAUCGAAUUGAAUUUCUUCGUUAUCAGAUGGUGCAUGACUGUUUAUUUUAUGAAUGUAUUCAAUUUCAAUAAC
Long non-coding RNA from Spinacia oleracea (spinach), 1826 nucleotides. RefSeq lists it as uncharacterized. Lineage: Eukaryota; Viridiplantae; Streptophyta; Magnoliopsida; Caryophyllales; Amaranthaceae. The record is from RefSeq and is a predicted model, not a curated record. The transcript is spliced from 3 exons.